This 559-nucleotide ribosomal RNA is filed under the name uncultured bacterium. RNAcentral's name for it is "bacterial SSU rRNA". It matches the Rfam family "Bacterial small subunit ribosomal RNA", at positions 8 to 561 of the family's 1533-position model. The record is from RNAcentral.
AGAGUUUGAUCAUGGCUCAGGAUGAACGCUAGCGACAGGCUUAACACAUGCAAGUCGAGGGGCAGCACAGGUAGCAAUACCGGGUGGCGACCGGCGCACGGGUGAGUAACGCGUAUGCAACUUGCCUAUCAGAGGGGGAUAACCCGGCGAAAGUCGGACUAAUACCGCAUGAAGCAGGGAUCCCGCAUGGGAAUAUUUGCUAAAGAUUCAUCGCUGAUAGAUAGGCAUGCGCUCCAUUAGGCAGUUGGCGGGGUAACGGCCCACCAAACCGACGAUGGAUAGGGGUUCUGAGAGGAAGGUCCCCCACAUUGGUACUGAGACACGGACCAAACUCCUACGGGAGGCAGCAGUGAGGAAUAUUGGUCAAUGGCCGAGAGGCUGAACCAGCCAAGUCGCGUGAGGGAUGAAGGUUCUAUGGAUCGUAAACCUCUUUUAUAAGGGAAUAAAGUGCGGGACGUGUCCCGUUUUGUAUGUACCUUAUGAAUAAGGAUCGGCUAACUCCGUGCCAGCAGCCGCGGUAAUACGGAGGAUCCGAGCGUUAUCCGGAUUUAUUGGGUUU